UACGUAGGGUGCAAGCGUUGUCCGGAAUUAUUGGGCGUAAAGAGCUCGUAGGCGGUCUGUCGCGUCUGCUGUGAAAACUCAGGGCUUAACCCUGAGCUUGCAGUGGGUACGGGCAGACUAGAGUGCGGUAGGGGAGACUGGAAUUCCUGGUGUAGCGGUGAAAUGCGCAGAUAUCAGGAGGAACACCGAUGGCGAAGGCAGCUCGCUGGGACGUCGACUGA
This 221-nucleotide ribosomal RNA is filed under the name uncultured bacterium. Its description in RNAcentral is "partial 16S ribosomal RNA". It matches the Rfam family "Bacterial small subunit ribosomal RNA", at positions 524 to 743 of the family's 1533-position model. The record is from RNAcentral.